This 384-nucleotide ribosomal RNA is filed under the name uncultured bacterium. Its description in RNAcentral is "bacterial SSU rRNA". It matches the Rfam family "Bacterial small subunit ribosomal RNA", at positions 30 to 417 of the family's 1533-position model. The record is from RNAcentral.
AUUGAACGCUGGCGGCAUGCCUUACACAUGCAAGUCGAACGGCAGCACGGGAGCAAUCCUGGUGGCGAGUGGCGAACGGGUGAGUAAUAUAUCGGAACGUGCCCAGUCGUGGGGAUAACGUAGCGAAAGCUACGCUAAUACCGCAUACGAUCUAUGGAUGAAAGCGGGGGAUCGCAAGACCUCGCGCGAUUGGAGCGGCCGAUAUCAGAUUAGGUAGUUGGUGAGGUAAAGGCUCACCAAGCCGACGAUCUGUAGCUGGUCUGAGAGGAUGACCAGCCACACUGGGACUGAGACACGGCCCAGACUCCUACGGAGGCAGCAGUGGGGAAUUUUGGACAAUGGCGCAAGCCUGAUCCAGCAAUGCCGCGUGCAGGAUGAAGGCCU